This 894-nucleotide ribosomal RNA is filed under the name uncultured bacterium. RNAcentral describes it as "bacterial SSU rRNA". It matches the Rfam family "Bacterial small subunit ribosomal RNA", at positions 8 to 916 of the family's 1533-position model. The record is from RNAcentral.
AGAGUUUGAUCAUGGCUCAGGACGAACGCUGGCGGCGUGCUUAACACAUGCAAGUCGAGCGGAAAGGCUCCUUCGGGGGUACUCGAGCGGCGAACGGGUGAGUAACACGUGAGUAAUCUGCCCUUCACUUCGGGAUAGCUACCGGAAACGGUGAUUAAUACCGGAUAUGACCACUUCUCGCAUGGGAUGGUGGUGGAAAGUUUUUUCGGUGGGGGAUGUGCUCGCGGCCUAUCAGCUUGUUGGUGGGGUAAUGGCCUACCAAGGCUUCGACGGGUAGCCGGCCUGAGAGGGUGACCGGUCACACUGGGACUGAGACACGGCCCAGACUCCUACGGGAGGCAGCAGUGGGGAAUAUUGGACAAUGGGCGGAAGCCUGAUCCAGCAACGCCGCGUGAGGGAUGACGGCCUUCGGGUUGUAAACCUCUUUCAGUACCGACGAAGCGCAAGUGACGGUAGGUACAGAAGAAGUACCGGCCAACUACGUGCCAGCAGCCGCGGUAAUACGUAGGGUGCGAGCGUUGUCCGGAAUUAUUGGGCGUAAAGGGCUCGUAGGCGGUUUGUCGCGUCGGGAGUGAAAACACCGUGCUUAACACGGUGCUUGCUUUCGAUACGGGCAGACUAGAGGCAUGCAGGGGAGAACGGAAUUCCUGGUGUAGCGGUGAAAUGCGCAGAUAUCAGGAGGAACACCGGUGGCGAAGGCGGUUCUCUGGGCAUGUCCUGACGCUGAGGAGCGAAAGUGUGGGGAGCGAACAGGAUUAGAUACCCUGGUAGUCCACACCGUAAACGUUGGGCGCUAGGUGUGGGAUCCAUUCCACGGGUUCCGUGCCGCAGCUAACGCAUUAAGCGCCCCGCCUGGGGAGUACGGCCGCAAGGCUAAACUCAAGGAAUUGACGG